RNAcentral lists this ribosomal RNA (406 nucleotides) under uncultured bacterium. RNAcentral's name for it is "partial 16S ribosomal RNA". It matches the Rfam family "Bacterial small subunit ribosomal RNA", at positions 28 to 526 of the family's 1533-position model. The record is from RNAcentral.
GACGAACGCUGGCGGCGUGCCUAAUACAUGCAAGUAGAACGAGUGGCGGACGGGUGAGUAAUGUCUGGGAAACUGCCCGAUGGAGGGGGAUAACUACUGGAAACGGUCGCUAAUACCGCAUACCAUCGGAUGUGCCCCGAUGGGAUUAGCUAGUAGGUGGGGUAACGGCUCACCUAGGCGACGAGCCCUAGCUGGUCUGAGAGGAUGAACAGACACACGGGAACUGAGACACGGUCCAGACUCCUACGGGAGGCAGAAGUGGGGAAUAUUGCACAAUGGGCGCAAGCCUGAUGCAGCCAUGCCGCGUGUAUGAAGAAGGCCUUCGGGUUGUAAAGUACUUUCAGCGAGGAGGCGUUACUCGCAGAAGAAGCACCGGCUAACUCCGUGCCAGCAGCCGCGGUAAUUC